UACGAAGGGGGCUAGCGUUGCUCGGAAUCACUGGGCGUAAAGCGCACGUAGGCGGAUUUCUAAGUCAGGGGUGAAAUCCUGGAGCUCAACUCCAGAACUGCCUUUGAUGCUGGGAAUCUCGAGUCCGGGAGAGGUGAGUGGAACUGCGAGUGUAGAGGUGAAAUUCGUAGAUAUUCGCAAGAACACCAGUGGCGAAGGCGGCUCACUGGCCCGGUACUGACGCUGAGGUGCGAAAGCGUGGGGAGCAAACAGG
This 253-nucleotide ribosomal RNA is filed under the name uncultured bacterium. RNAcentral describes it as "partial 16S ribosomal RNA". It matches the Rfam family "Bacterial small subunit ribosomal RNA", at positions 524 to 776 of the family's 1533-position model. The record is from RNAcentral.